RNAcentral lists this ribosomal RNA (1301 nucleotides) under Salmonella enterica subsp. enterica serovar Enteritidis. Its description in RNAcentral is "partial 23S ribosomal RNA". It matches the Rfam family "Bacterial large subunit ribosomal RNA", at positions 1586 to 2863 of the family's 2925-position model. The record is from RNAcentral. Lineage: Bacteria; Pseudomonadati; Pseudomonadota; Gammaproteobacteria; Enterobacterales; Enterobacteriaceae.
UGAAGCAACAAAUGCCCUGCUUCCAGGAAAAGCCUCUAAGCAUCAGGUAACAUCAAAUCGUACCCCAAACCGACACAGGUGGUCAGGUAGAGAAUACCAAGGCGCUUGAGAGAACUCGGGUGAAGGAACUAGGCAAAAUGGUGCCGUAACUUCGGGAGAAGGCACGCUGACACGUAGGUGAAGUGAUUUACUCAUGGAGCUGAAGUCAGUCGAAGAUACCAGCUGGCUGCAACUGUUUAUUAAAAACACAGCACUGUGCAAACACGAAAGUGGACGUAUACGGUGUGACGCCUGCCCGGUGCCGGAAGGUUAAUUGAUGGGGUCAGCGCAAGCGAAGCUCCUGAUCGAAGCCCCGGUAAACGGCGGCCGUAACUAUAACGGUCCUAAGGUAGCGAAAUUCCUUGUCGGGUAAGUUCCGACCUGCACGAAUGGCGUAAUGAUGGCCAGGCUGUCUCCACCCGAGACUCAGUGAAAUUGAACUCGCUGUGAAGAUGCAGUGUACCCGCGGCAAGACGGAAAGACCCCGUGAACCUUUACUAUAGCUUGACACUGAACAUUGAGCCUUGAUGUGUAGGAUAGGUGGGAGGCUUUGAAGUGUGGACGCCAGUCUGCAUGGAGCCGACCUUGAAAUACCACCCUUUAAUGUUUGAUGUUCUAACGUGGACCCGUUACCCGGGUUGCGGACAGUGUCUGGUGGGUAGUUUGACUGGGGCGGUCUCCUCCUAAAGAGUAACGGAGGAGCACGAAGGUUGGCUAAUCCUGGUCGGACAUCAGGAGGUUAGUGCAAUGGCAUAAGCCAGCUUGACUGCGAGCGUGACGGCGCGAGCAGGUGCGAAAGCAGGUCAUAGUGAUCCGGUGGUUCUGAAUGGAAGGGCCAUCGCUCAACGGAUAAAAGGUACUCCGGGGAUAACAGGCUGAUACCGCCCAAGAGUUCAUAUCGACGGCGGUGUUUGGCACCUCGAUGUCGGCUCAUCACAUCCUGGGGCUGAAGUAGGUCCCAAGGGUAUGGCUGUUCGCCAUUUAAAGUGGUACGCGAGCUGGGUUUAGAACGUCGUGAGACAGUUCGGUCCCUAUCUGCCGUGGGCGCUGGAGAACUGAGGGGGGCUGCUCCUAGUACGAGAGGACCGGAGUGGACGCAUCACUGGUGUUCGGGUUGUCAUGCCAAUGGCACUGCCCGGUAGCUAAAUGCGGAAGAGAUAAGUGCUGAAAGCAUCUAAGCACGAAACUUGCCCCGAGAUGAGUUCUCCCUGAGACUUAAAGUCUCCUGAAGGAACGUUGAAGACGACGACGUUGAUAGGCCG